This 1468-nucleotide long non-coding RNA is filed under the name Homo sapiens (human). Its description in RNAcentral is "PREDICTED lncRNA (TCONS_00005774)". Lineage: Eukaryota; Metazoa; Chordata; Mammalia; Primates; Hominidae. The record is from RNAcentral.
CGGGGCUGGCCCGCCGCUGACCCGCCGCCUCCGUCUGCCUCCUCCCGGGCUCUGGGCCCAGCGCGCCCAGAUGCCGGGCAGGACCCCUCCGCCCGCUGCUGGAACACCAAUAGCAGCGUUGGAGCCUCUGGGCCGGAGGAACUGGGGCCUCCACCGACACCUGCUUCUUCCCUCACCUCGCAGCCUUCCACACCUGUUGAUCUGACCUCUGCCCCGCUGCCGCCCAGGAGUAACCUAAGGCUUUUGGCCUGAUUCGAGCUCACUCCGUCUAAACCUCUAAAUGCGGUGCGAAAAAAUCCUGGGGAAUGUGCCAUGCAAAGCCUGGGCAUUUCAAGUGCUUUUCUGGAUUCGCAUCAACUCCUCUUUACAGGCAUCUUUAUCCGGAAUUCAGCUCGUCCCAAACCCCACGUGGUGUAGCUCUGCUUGUGUUUUUGAAUCCCGGGGCCUCUUUGAAUCAGAAGCCCUUUGUAUAGAGAUAAGUAUCCUUUAGGCCAGAAUCAGCCUCCAUUUUUUUCGCAGUCCCAUUUCCUACCCGUAAUACUUUCUUCUGAUUUUAAAGCCAUUUGAUAGAGAAGGGACAGGGAACAGAACCUUCGCCCCCCGCCUGAGCAGCUGGUAGACUAGAUAUCUUCCAAACAUUAUCUCAUUUACUUCCCUGGAGUUACAAAUAGGUAGAUUUCAUGUCCGUUGAGGGGUGAGAAAGCUGAAACUUUGAGACUUAAGAAUCCUGGCCGAGGUCAGCCUCCUCCGAAGCUUCAUCUCUUGCCACCACUUUCUGGUGCACACCUAGGACAGAUUUCAAUCCCUGAGAUCCCAGGAUGAAACCUAUGUUUGCCAAAUACCAGCUACUGUGCCAGAAGAGAUCAUGGAACCAGGUGUGGAAAGCUGCUUGAGAAGAGGAGCCAAAACAUCAUAGUUGAACCGUCCUGGAAUAGAAACUCGCCCUGAAUUCUUUCUUGUGUGAAAUCCAAGAGCCCUCUCUUGGGGUUGGAUCGGGACCCUGUUCCUGUAACAAGUCCACAAUGCCAGAGAAUUAAAGAGAACCACAAAGUUUCUGCCAUUUCAGUUCCUGUUAUCGUGCUUUGAGGUGCACUGAACUGCAGCAAACCCAGGGGAUCCAAGGCUACGUUGAAAAGCCUUUGACCACAGUGCAGGGAGCAGAAGACAUUAAUGACGUGAUGUCGACACAGCCCGCACUCAGGAUCCUCCAGGAAAAGAACACAGAGAUAACCCCGGAUCGAUGGUACUUUUUGAAAAUGCUUUAUUGCAAAAGAGUGGCUAGGGUUUUACAAGGGCUAUGAAGAAACAUAUUAAGGUUAAUAAAGCUUUUUAUUGAGUGUUUACUGAGUGUUACUAUGUGCUUUACAUCUAUUAACUCAUUUCAUCUUCAAAACAACCCUAUAAAGAUGUUACAACUAUAAUCCUAACCUUACAAAUGAAACAACUGAGGCACAGUGAAGUGCAGUGG